This 1073-nucleotide ribosomal RNA is filed under the name Micrometula sp. 8237. RNAcentral describes it as "bacterial SSU rRNA". It matches the Rfam family "Eukaryotic small subunit ribosomal RNA", at positions 1160 to 1828 of the family's 1831-position model. The record is from RNAcentral. Lineage: Eukaryota; Foraminifera; Allogromiidae.
AAGGGCACCACAAGAACGCGUGGAGCAUGUGGCUUAAUUUGACUCAACGCGGGAAAUCUUACCGGGUCCGGACACACUGAGGAUUGACAGGCAAAAGAUACAAGCUUUUCGGAAUUUGCAUUGUAAAAUAUGCGAGUCCUUUCAUGAUUAUGUGAUAGGUGGUGCAUGGCCGUUCUUAGUUCGUGGAGUGAUCUGUCUGCUUAAUUGCGUUUCACAACGAUUUAAAAUGCUAUGUUUCUGUGUUUGCUGUUCGGUUAAUAUAUUACUUCGGUUUUUUUUAACUUUGAACGCACACAGCGUAGUUUAAAACAAUCGGAAAGCAACGAACGUGACCGCAACCUCUUGUUGCCUUUUAUUUUUAAAAUAUAUGCAAUUUUUUUUUUAUUUUUCUUUCGGGAAAGGUAAAGAAAUUGUGUAUAUUGAAAAAGGCUUUAAAACUAGAGGGACCGCUGUUCUAUUUUCUUAAACCAGAGGAAGAUUGCGGCAAUAACAGGUCUGUGAUGCCCUCAGAUGUUCCGGGCUGCACACGUGCUACAAUGAUUGUUGCAGUGAGCAUCUAUUUUCAAACGCUACCGUUGUGGAUUUUGUAGAGCAUUGAAAUUGCUUCGGCGAGGACAAUGUUUUGCAAUUUAUUCCACGUUACGUGUCAGCUAAACCUGCUUCGAAAGCAAGUAGGUAAUCAAUUGGAAGUAACGAUUUCCUUUUUUGGAAAGCACAACUUCUGGUCCAUUUGGUAUUGCGAGUUAAAGCGUAGAUUUCGGUUUGCGUUUUUUCUUUUGUCGAUAUUCAUCUGGAUAUCUGUGCUAACACUUUUUAAUUCAAGGUGGGGACAGACCAUUGUUAAUUGUUGGUCUCGUUUUAACUAGGAAUGCCUUGUACGGGUUGGUUCAUCAAACCACCCGGAAUACGUCCCUGCCCUUUGUACACACCGCCCGUCGCUCUUACCGAUGGACUUCUCUGUGAGGUUGAGGGACUGGGUCUUUAUCGACCUACGGAAACUUAUUCGAACAGGGUGGUCUAAAGGAAAGAGAAGUCGUAACAAGGCAUCGGUAGGUGAACCUGCAGAAGGAUCA